This 418-nucleotide ribosomal RNA is filed under the name uncultured bacterium. RNAcentral describes it as "bacterial SSU rRNA". It matches the Rfam family "Bacterial small subunit ribosomal RNA", at positions 355 to 773 of the family's 1533-position model. The record is from RNAcentral.
UGGGGAAUCUUGCGCAAUGGCCGAAAGGCUGACGCAGCGACGCCGCGUGUGGGAGGACGCCUUUCGGGGUGUAAACCACUGUUGCCCGGGACGAACAGCGCUUUUCGAGGCGCCUGACGGUACCAGGUGAGGAAGCACCGGCUCACUCCGUGCCAGCAGCCGCGGUAAUACGGAGGGUGCGAGCGUGGUCCGGAAUCAUUGGGCGUAAAGGGCGCGUAGGUGGCCCGGUCAGUCAGUGGUGAAAGCGCGGGGCUCAACUCCGCGUCGGCCAUUGAUACUGCUGGGCUGGAGCACUGUAGAGGCAGGCGGAAUUCCGGGUGUAGCGGUGGAAUGCGUAGAGAUCCGGAAGAACACCGGUGGCGAAGGCGGCCUGCUGGGCAGUAGCUGACACUGAGGCGCGACAGCGUGGGGAGCAAAC